Molecule: ribosomal RNA, 458 nt
Filed under: uncultured bacterium
Lineage: Bacteria
Description: partial 16S ribosomal RNA
Rfam family: Bacterial small subunit ribosomal RNA
Source: RNAcentral
CCUACGGGUGGCAGCAGUGAGGAAUAUUGGUCAAUGGGCGAGAGCCUGAACCAGCCAAGUCGCGUGAGGGAGUACUGCCCUAUGGGUUGUAAACCUCUUUUGUCGGGGAGCAAAAGCCGGACGUGUCCGGCUGUGAGAGUACCCGAAGAAAAAGCAUCGGCUAACUCCGGGCCAGCCGCCGCGGUAAUACGGAGGAUGCGAGCGUUAACCGGAUUUACUGGGUUUAAAGGGUGCGCAGGCGGAUUUUUAAGUAAGCGGUCAACUCGUGGGGCUCAACCCCAUCACGUCGUUGAAACUGGGGAUCUAGAGGGUGCGAGAGGUAUGCGGAAUGCGUGGUGUAGCGGUGAAAUGCAUCGAUAUCACGCAGAACCCCGAUUGCGAAGGCAGCAUACCGGUGCACAACUGACGCUCAGGCACGAAAGCGUGGGUAUCGAACAGGAUUAGAUACCCCAGUAGUC